Molecule: ribosomal RNA, 481 nt
Filed under: uncultured bacterium
Lineage: Bacteria
Description: partial 16S ribosomal RNA
Rfam family: Bacterial small subunit ribosomal RNA
Source: RNAcentral
GAUGAACGCUGGCGGCGUGCUUAACACAUGCAAGUCGAACGAAGCAUUUGCGACAGCUUUUUUCGGAAUGAAGUUGCUUAUGACUGAGUGGCGGACGGGUGAGUAACGCGUGGGUAACCUGCCUUGUACUGGGGGAUAGCAGCUGGAAACGGCUGUUAAUACCGCAUAAGCUCUCAAUUUUGCUUGACAUGUUUUUAAAAACUCCGUUGGUAUAAGAUGGACCCGCGGCUGAUUAGCUAGUUGGUGAGAUAACAGCCCACCAAGGCGACGAUCAGUAGCCGACCUGAGAGGGGGACCGGCAACAUUGGGACUGAGACACGGCCCAGACUCCUACGGGAGGGAGAAGUGGGGAAUAUUGCAAAAUGGAGGAAACUCUGAUGCAGCGACGCCGCGUGAGUGAAGAAGUAAUUCGUUAUGUAAAGCUCUAUCAGCAGGGAAGAUAGUGACGGUACCUGACUAAGAAGCUCCGGCUAAAUACGUG